GGAUCAUGCGAUCUUAAUUAAAUUCAUAACUUAUAGUAGUCAAAAUCAAGAAUUUGAACUUGAGAAUUAGUAAACUCUAAAAUGAAAAGGUGAAUACUUCAACUAAUACCAAAUAGUUAGUUUUCCAAUUUGAAGAGAUGUCGGUUUAGAAAGAUAAAUAGAGCUAACACUUGCUAUAAGCGCUUCUUACUAUAGGCGUUGAAGUCAG
RNAcentral lists this unclassified non-coding RNA (208 nucleotides) under Hevea brasiliensis (rubber tree). The record is from RNAcentral. Lineage: Eukaryota; Viridiplantae; Streptophyta; Magnoliopsida; Malpighiales; Euphorbiaceae.